CAUCUUCGAUAUGUGAGGGUGGUGCGGGCAAGCCACACUACGGUUUCUAGCCUAUUGUACCAUAUUACACUGGAGGCCUAAAAUUUACCAUGCAGUUGUUUGGUUGCAAAUAUUAAAGAACUUCAUGGAGUUGCUUGUGUGGAACCCUGUUAACGAUCGCUUGUCGGUUCUUGGUGUUAAGUGUGGUACCUCCGGCGGACAGAUUAUUUUGCAUACGCUGAGAAGCAAACAGACAUUAACCUGACAGUGCUCGAAUUGAAACUCCAUAAGCCAUGACACCUAUUACUGUUAGGUAAUGAAACUAAUCAAUUUGACUCAAGCCCUUAAGCUUUGGGAUCUAUGCUUGUAUACUUAGGAUCACAUAAAAAGCUUAGUGCUGCAGGUUAAUUGCGAUCUUUGACUUAUAUUCUGGACCAUAAGAAAUUGAGAGGGUUCGUUGUGCAACAGGCCGGCAAUAGAUCUCUUUGGUCUUUACUUUAUCCCUCAAUUUCAAGAUUUUACUCCUGAUGGUUUAUAUAUGUUCUUCUUUGUGAAAUUGGUUUUGGAUUGACAGAGACUUUGUGAACGUUUUAUUUGUUUAAUGCAGGUGAUUUGAAAUUGCAUGAAGCUGUUAUGUUUGACAUGAAUCAUGUAAAACGAGAUAGCUUCCUAAUCAGAGCACCUAUAGGUGUUUGGUUCACAUGUCCACAUACAAUACAAUGCUCAAAAAAUUCUUAUCAGUUUAAUUCUUAUCCGAUCACAUUCCAUAUUUUCCAGUACUCUUUGGAAGCAAGAUAAUUAAAAUUCUCAAAACAUUGCAUACUUCCUAGUCCACUCCUUGGCCGUUUCGACAAACUUCUUUUUGUCUUUCCGGAAGAGCAGGCAGGGUGGAUUGAGGGGAUCCACUGGGUUUGGAUCAUCGAGAAGUGAGCAUAUGGAGAGCAGGAGGCUCUCAAUGUUCUGCACUGGAUUCCAUUUAUCCUCUUCUAAAAUGUCGACGUAAAUAGUCCCGUCCUCGCCGUUAAUAUUUGGAUGAUAAACCUGCAAAGAACAAGUUCUGUAUGUAAAUCAUAUGAACUCAGCAUAUAUAGGAUUACAUAGAAACAGGAAAGAUUUGGUUUAAAGAGGGAAUUACAGGAAAGGUUGUGUUCUUCAA
Malus domestica (apple) is the source of this 1135-nucleotide long non-coding RNA. RefSeq lists it as uncharacterized. NCBI's taxonomy places the organism in Eukaryota, Viridiplantae, Streptophyta, Magnoliopsida, Rosales, Rosaceae. The record is from RefSeq and is a predicted model, not a curated record.